RNAcentral lists this long non-coding RNA (3027 nucleotides) under Homo sapiens (human). RNAcentral's name for it is "long non-coding RNA NONHSAT221000.1". The record is from RNAcentral. Lineage: Eukaryota; Metazoa; Chordata; Mammalia; Primates; Hominidae.
CUCAGGUGACCCGCUGGCCUCGGCCUCCCAAAGUGCUGGGAUUACAGGCGUGAGCCACCGUGCCUGGCCCCCCCAUGCUGUUUCUAAAAGGAGGUGUAGCAGUAGUGUUUUCUCUCUUUCUUGAUCUUGGAUGAUUCAUUGGCACCCCUUAAUGAUUGGAACCCAAGGAAGUUCUCUGAGAGCCAUUUACUAGACACCAGUAUAAAUUUUAAACUCAGGAAGGAAUUGGCACUUCCAGUUGUAUUCAAUGUAUUCAUUGUUGAUGCAGGACAGCUAUAAAUAAAUGAGAUUCUGGAAUUCCUAUGAAAAUGGGAUCUCUAAGAAAGAUUCCUAACAACUGGCUUUGGAGACGAGUAAGUGUGUAUUUUCACCUUUAAGUCCAUGAGCUGCAGGGAGCCACUUCAUGGGAGGAUUUUGAUGACAUUUUACUUUGUGCAUGCUCAUUUUAACUGUAUGACAUUAAAACAGCAAUUACACAUAUCAAAAGAGAGAACGGAUAGCACUGGGGACCAAAAGGCUCACUUUCCCACAAAUAGUCCCUUCUUCUGGAUUUCAUGGGUACCCAUUAGUACCAGAAUUUCCUGGGUUUGGCUAUGGAAAGUUUCAAGUAUAUAUUACAUAUAUAUUAUAAGAUGAGGACAACUUGAAGCCACUACCUGUCGUCAGUGUGUAAGGAGGGAGGUAGUUUUUCUUGGGAGGGUGGAGGUGGGAGGUAGCCCAGGGAAAGGCAUGAAGGGCAACAGGCUGGGAGGAGGGAGGAAGUGCAGUCAGCCUUGGAACCUUAGACAGACUGAGUGCUGCAUCUGGGCACAGGCGGUCAGCCUGCACUGACUCCUGAAGGCAAAGCAAGGGAGGGGAGAAGCAUGUGGCUAAACAGAGAAGGGGAGGAUUCUAGCCAGAACACACUGUUUGCUUUUAUAAAUGCCAGGGGUGGUGCAUUGGUAAGCACCCUGCACAGAAGAAUGGGGUGGGAGGGCUGGAGGAAUACCUGGUCCAGUCCAUCCAGGAGUCCUCCCAUACCUGCAUUCCCUGCCCAUGAUGCGAUUUGAUGCUCAGCCUACAUCAAAUAACACUAUGUGCUGAAUGGGAAAUGAGAGGAAAAUACGAGGAGGCCUUAUUAUUCUUCACAAUUUUGCCUAUGUCCAAUUCCAUUCAGCAUGAUUGCUUUUGGUGCCCAGAGAAGCUGAGUUUCUAUCAAAAACAUGUAUAUAUAGGUGAGUGUAUCUGUGUGUUUGUACAUGUAUGUAUAUGUGUGUGUAUACAUGUAUAUAUAAGUAUAUGAAGAUGGUGGUGUUCCUGCUGGCAUCCUAUGGCCAACUUGACUUCAGAGUACCCAGGGGAAGGCCUGGCUGGCCGGAUGCCCUUGCAGAUGUCAGCUCCAGUGUGGACAUGGUGCAAUGACAGCCAGGGGUGUGGGAGCAUCCUGAAUGUGUCCCGUGGGAGGGCAGGGCCUCUGAAAGGGUCCUACUCAGGAUAUGUCUCCUGAAAGCCACCAGGGGGUGGAGAGAGAAGUAGGAGCCCAACAAUGGCUCCAUCCCUGCUCUGCUUUUGGCGGUUGUAUAACAUCCCUGAGUCCCAGAUUAUUUGUCUAUCAAAAGGACAAAUGAGGUGGCUCAUGCCUGUAAUCCCAUCACUUUGGGAGGCCAAGGUGGGCAGAUCAUUUGAGGCCAGGAGUUCGAGACCAGCCUGGCCAACAUGGUGAAACCCCAUCUCUACUAAAAAUACAGAAAUUAGCCAGGUGUGGUGGUGCAUACCUGUAAUCCCAGCUACUCAGGAGGCUGAGGCAGAAGAAUCUCUUGAACUUGGGAGGUGGAGGUUUCAGUGAGCCAAGAUCACACCACUGCACUCCAGCCUGGGCAGCAGAGUAAGACUCCAUCUAAAAAAAAAAAGAGAUAACAAUAUCCCCUUUGCAGAAUGGUGAUGGGCAUCAGACAUGACAUAUGUAACAUGUCCCAUGCACGGAAGGGUGCUCCAUGACUGCAAACCUGGAUGAUGAUGACAACGACGAUGGAGAUGACUAAGACUGUAUUUAAAAAUGGGAAUUGCUGUUGUUUCCUGGCUUCCUGAUGGUCCUGUUUUUUACCUUCUGCUGCUUUUUACGGAUUUAUUUUUUGAUGGUGCAAGACAGGCUGGCAGGGGUGCAGGCUAGAGGACUGAAUAAGCGAUGGAUCUGUCAAUCCAAGGCACUUAAUAGAAGAUUGGAUUCCCAUUAAGGGAGCAGAUGAAAGACAGAAAGACAGAAGGACACAGCCCCUCUCACCUUCACCUAAGAGAGGGAUAAAUGUCAGCUGAGAGAACGUGGGUAAAGGUGACAAACGCUCCCUUCACUGAUCAGCAGCUGUGUGACCUUGGUCAGCUCACCAAACCUCUCUGUGCUUUAGAGCACCGAGAAGGAAUAAAACCUGCCCUGUGUUUACCUUGCCUCCCUGGAAGAUUUGUGAUGAGAAUAAAGUCUAAAAAUACUUUGAAAAAUACACCGCACCCUACAAGCUCCAUCAUAACUGGUGUUUCCAGAAAUGCAAACAUAUUUCCUGCCUAACUCAGCCGUGUUUCUGAUCUCUUGUAGCUUGACUGAUUCGUACCUUUUUGAGCAAUGGGAACCUUUGGUGGUGUAAAGCCUAGAAAAGACUCGCAACAAUAUUAAAAAAUGUGUAUGACACACAUGGUAUGUCGGAAGAAACCCAACCAUAUCUGUGUUUGCAACAACUGCAGUGUACCAUGAAGAUGACUGGAGUUCUAUGGCAACAACAUUGCAAGCACUGCUAAACCCACUGUGGUUUCUUGCCUACAUUCCUAGCCAAAGUCAACACUAAAUUUCUGUUAGAGGUGAUGAAAAUAAAAGUUUAUUUUUCCCCAUCUAUGCUCAUAUAGUCCUCCCCCAAAUUCCAUCUAUGGACUUUUGGGAGAUCCAUGGACCCCAGGUUAGGAAUGUUAGAAUUAGAUGCAUUAUUUCUUUAUAGGUAUAGAUAAGGAAAAGAUUAGAAGGAUCAACUGAUCUGGCCAUUAACUAGUUCAAAUACUAAGGAG